UUGUGCCUACGGGACGCAGCAGUGGGGAAUAUUGCACAAUGGGGGAAACCCUGAUGCAGCGACGCCGCGUGAGUGAAGAAGUAUUUCGGUAUGUAAAGCUCUAUCAGCAGGAACGAGACAAGACGGUACCUGACUAAGAAGCCCCGGCUAACUACGUGCCAGCAACCGCGGUAAUACGUAGGGGGCAAGCGUUGUCCGGAGUCACUGGGUGUAAAGGGAGCGUAGACGGCUGUGCAAGCCUGAAGUGAAAGGCGGGGGCCCAACCCCCGGACUGCUUUGGGAACUGUACGGCUGGAGUGCAGGAG
RNAcentral lists this ribosomal RNA (305 nucleotides) under uncultured bacterium. RNAcentral describes it as "bacterial SSU rRNA". It matches the Rfam family "Bacterial small subunit ribosomal RNA", at positions 334 to 654 of the family's 1533-position model. The record is from RNAcentral.